This 253-nucleotide ribosomal RNA is filed under the name uncultured bacterium. RNAcentral describes it as "partial 16S ribosomal RNA". It matches the Rfam family "Bacterial small subunit ribosomal RNA", at positions 524 to 776 of the family's 1533-position model. The record is from RNAcentral.
UACAGAGACUGCAAGCGUUAUUCGGAUUCACUGGGCGUAAAGGGUGCGUAGGCGGUCGGGUAAGUCUGAUGUGAAAUCUCACAGCUUAACUGUGAAACUGCAUUGGAUACUAUCCGGCUUGAGGAAUGGAGGGGAGACUGGAAUACUUGGUGUAGCAGUGAAAUGCGUAGAUAUCAAGUGGAACACCAGUGGCGAAGGCGAGUCUCUGGACAUUUCCUGACGCUGAGGCACGAAAGCCAGUGGAGCAAACGGG